AAAUGUCAUAACGGGUUCAUCACGGGCCGCCCCUUAAAAAUGUUUAUUAAACGGGCUCUACCCGUGAAUAAAAGGGUGCCCAUUAAUUUUUUUUUUCUUCAGAAUAUGUGAAACUACGUAGUUUUAUCUUAGGUUCACUUAUCUCAAAACUAAUCUUUGCCAUCUCUCUCGUCUCUCCUCUCUGUGUAGAUGAAUCUCAAAACAUGAAUCCAAAUUGAGAAACCUCUUUCGUUUUCUUGAAUCUGUGGUGGGUCUCUUCGUUUUCUUCAUUAAGAGAAACCUCUUUCUCUCUUUCAGUCUCUGGCGCCUUCUCUUUCUUUCUCAGUUUCUCUCAGGCGCUCUCUCUCCGGCGACCUCUUCUCUCUCCGGCGACCUUUCUCUCUCUCGCUCAGAUUCCGGAUCUAAGUAGCAACCGUACAGCAGCUUGAGUUCAUUGCAGAAGCUUGGUCUCAGGAUGGAUUUGGAGUCUCUUAAUACAAUAGCAAUCCUUGAUGCUCAAAGGGAAUACAUGGACAUGAAUGAAGAAGAUGCUUUGAAUAUGGAAAAUGCAAUGGGGGAGGGAGAAACAGAGAUGCAAAACUGUUUUGUUGUUUUUGAUGUUUUUAUUUCAAACACAAGCUUGAUGCAAAACUAUUUUUAUUGAGAUUGUGCACUAUCUAGUUCAUUUGAGAUUUGUUUAUUA
Raphanus sativus (radish) is the source of this 682-nucleotide long non-coding RNA. RefSeq lists it as uncharacterized. The record is from RefSeq and is a predicted model, not a curated record. The transcript has 3 exons. NCBI's taxonomy places the organism in Eukaryota, Viridiplantae, Streptophyta, Magnoliopsida, Brassicales, Brassicaceae.